Molecule: ribosomal RNA, 376 nt
Filed under: uncultured bacterium
Lineage: Bacteria
Description: bacterial SSU rRNA
Rfam family: Bacterial small subunit ribosomal RNA
Source: RNAcentral
AACGAACGCUGGCGGCACGCCUAACACAUGCAAGUCGAACGCCUGGUAGCAAUACCGGGAGUGGCGGACGGGUGAGUAACGCGUGGGAACCUGCCUUGUGGUGCGGGACAACCCCGGGAAACCGGGGCUAAUACCGCAUGAUCCCCCUGGCAACGGGGGGUAAAGAUUUAUCGCCAUGAGAGGGGCCCCGCGUCGGAUUAGGUAGUUGGUGGGGUAACGGCCUACCAAGCCUUCGAUCCGUAGCUGGUCUGAGAGGANGGCCAGCCACACUGGGACUGAGACACGGCCCAGACUCCUACGGGAGGCAGCAGUGGGGAAUCUUGGACAAUGGGGGCAACCCUGAUCCAGCGAUGCCGCGUGGGUGAUGAAGGCCUUC